UUUCUGCUGAGGACGACCGGUCCGCCCUCUGGGUGAGUAUCUGGCUUGGCCUUGGCAUCUUCUUGGAGAACGUAGCUGCACUUGACUGUGUGGUGCGGUAUCCAGGACUUUUACUUUGAGGAAAUUAGAGUGUUUCAAGCAGGCACACGCCUUGAAUACAUUAGCAUGGAAUAAUAAGAUAGGACCUUGGUUCUAUUUUGUUGGUUUCUAGAGCUGAGGUAAUGAUUAAUAGGGACAAUUGGGGGCAUUAGUAUUCAGAC
RNAcentral lists this ribosomal RNA (260 nucleotides) under uncultured dinoflagellate. Its description in RNAcentral is "partial 18S ribosomal RNA". The stretch from base 97 to 260 matches the Rfam family "Eukaryotic small subunit ribosomal RNA", at positions 738 to 903 of the family's 1831-position model. The record is from RNAcentral. Lineage: Eukaryota; Dinophyceae.